Molecule: ribosomal RNA, 427 nt
Filed under: uncultured bacterium
Lineage: Bacteria
Description: partial 16S ribosomal RNA
Rfam family: Bacterial small subunit ribosomal RNA
Source: RNAcentral
UGGGGAAUAUUGCACAAUGGGCGCAAGCCUGAUGCAGCCAUGCCGCGUGUAUGAAGAAGGCCUUCGGGUUGUAAAGUACUUUCAGCGGGGAUGAAGGGAGUAAAGUUAAUACCUUUGCUCAUUGACGUUACCCGCGGAAGAAGCACCGGCUAACUCCGUGCCAGCAGCCGCGGUAAUACGGAGGGUGCAAGCGUUAAUCGGAAUUACUGGGCGUAAAGCGCACGCAGGCGGUUUGUUAAGUCAGAUGUGAAAUCCCCGGGCUCAACCUGGGAACUGCAUCUGAUACUGGCAAGCUUGAGUCUCGUAGAGGGGGGUAGAAUUCCAGGUGUAGCGGUGAAAUGCGUAGAGAUCUGGAGGAAUACCGGUGGCGAAGGCGGCCCCCUGGACGAAGACUGACGCUCAGGUGCGAAAGCGUGGGGAGCAAACA